GUUGGGCGUGGUGGCGCACGUCUGUAAUCCUUGCGCCUGGGAGACCGAGGCUGCUGGACUGCUUGAGCCGCGGGUUCCGGUGCCGUGGCGCGCUAUGGCGAACGGGAGUCCUGGUGACGGUCAGCAUCGACGUGGUGCUUCUUGGGGAGCCUGGGCGCACCAGGUCGUCUAGGGAGGGGCGAACCAACCCAGGUCGGUGACGGAGCAGGUGAAAGCCCCCGUGCUGAGCGGUCUGUGGGUUGGCCCUGUGAGUAGCGGCUGCGGUGCUGCCAAGGUGAGAGGUGGCUUAACUCUA
This 295-nucleotide signal recognition particle RNA is filed under the name Scleropages formosus (Asian bonytongue). RNAcentral describes it as "Metazoan signal recognition particle RNA (ENSSFOG00015031651.1)". It matches the Rfam family "Metazoan signal recognition particle RNA". From Rfam's summary of the family: The signal recognition particle (SRP) is a universally conserved ribonucleoprotein. It is involved in the co-translational targeting of proteins to membranes. The eukaryotic SRP consists of a 300-nucleotide 7S RNA and six proteins: SRPs 72, 68, 54, 19, 14, and 9. The record is from RNAcentral. Lineage: Eukaryota; Metazoa; Chordata; Actinopteri; Osteoglossiformes; Osteoglossidae.